AGUUCAAAUAGAUUAGAUAGAGCUUGGAGAGUUUUAGAAUGAGAAACAUUACAUUUUUGUUUUAGUCAUUUGAGAGGAAGAGAGAGAAAACUAAUUCUUGGGUUCACCCCCUAGGAUGAACCUCUAGGUUCACUAAUCAAUAGGAUUGUGUUAUUUCAUAUUCGAUAUCUUUUAAAAAAAGAAACAAAAUAUUGUCAAAUUAUAUUAUCUUUUUAAAAUUAAAAGGUAAAAAAUAAAUAAAUAAAAAAUAGUAGUAAUUACAAAAAAAAAUAUUUUUAACGUCGUUAGCAAAACAUUAAACCCUAAAUCCUAAUCUCUAAACCCUAAAUCCUAAACUGUAGGAUAAAUCUUAAACUUUAGGAUAAAUCUUAAACUCUAAAUCAAAAUCACUUAACACUAAAACACUCAAGGGUUUAGGGUUUAGGAUUUAGGGUUUAGAGUUUUAGGGUUUAGUGUUUUUAUUUAGAGUUUAGGAUUUAUCCAAGUGUUUAGGGUUUACCCAAGGGUUUAGAGUUUACCCAAGGGUUUAGGGUUUAUCCAAGGGUUUAGGUUUACCCAAGGGUUUAGGGUUUAGGGAUU
This 579-nucleotide long non-coding RNA is filed under the name Brassica napus (rape). RNAcentral describes it as "long non-coding RNA (BNAP_LNC015515)". Lineage: Eukaryota; Viridiplantae; Streptophyta; Magnoliopsida; Brassicales; Brassicaceae. The record is from RNAcentral.